RNAcentral lists this ribosomal RNA (687 nucleotides) under uncultured marine alpha proteobacterium. Its description in RNAcentral is "bacterial SSU rRNA". It matches the Rfam family "Bacterial small subunit ribosomal RNA", at positions 837 to 1532 of the family's 1533-position model. Lineage: Bacteria; Pseudomonadati; Pseudomonadota; Alphaproteobacteria. The record is from RNAcentral.
UUUUCAGUGUCGCAGCGAAAGCAAUAAACACACCGCCUGGGGAGUACGACCGCAAGGUUAAAACUCAAAUGAAUUGACGGGGACCCGCACAAGUAGUGGAGCAUGUGGUUUAAUUCGAAGAUACGCGCAGAACCUUACCAACACUUGACAUGUUCGUCGCGACUCUAAGAGAUUAGAGUUUUCGGUUCGGCCGGACGAAACACAGGUGCUGCAUGGCUGUCGUCAGCUCGUGUCGUGAGAUGUUGGGUUAAGUCCCGCAACGAGCGCAACCCUCACUUUUAGUUGCCAUCAUUAAGUUGGGCACUCUGAAAGAACUGCCAGUGAUAAGCUGGAGGAAGGUGGGGAUGACGUCAAGUCCUCAUGGCCCUUAUGUGUUGGGCUACACACGUGCUACAAUGGUAUCUACAACAGGAUGCAAGAUGGCAACAUUAAGCAAAUCCUAAAAAGAUACCUCAGUUCGGAUUGCACUCUGCAACUCGAGUGCAUGAAGCUGGAAUUACUAGUAAUCGUGGAUCAGCGUGCCACGGUGAAUACGUUCCCGGGUCUUGUACACACCGCCCGUCACACCAUGGGAGUUGGUUCUACCUUAAGGCAAAGUUUAAAACCUUUGACCACGGUAUAGUCAGCGACUGGGGUGAAGUCGUAACAAGGUAGCCGUAGGGGAACCUGCGGCUGGAUUACCUCCUU